AACAGGAUUAGAUACCCUGGUAGUCCAUGCCGUAAACGUUGGGCACUAGGUGUGGGGGACAUUCCACGUUUUCCGCGCCGUAGCUAACGCAUUAAGUGCCCCGCCUGGGGAGUACGGCCGCAAGGCUAAAACUCAAAGGAAUUGACGGGGGCCCGCACAAGCGGCGGAGCAUGCGGAUUAAUUCGAUGCAACGCGAAGAACCUUACCAAGGCUUGACAUGGACCGGACCGCUGCAGAGAUGUAGCUUCCCUUCGGGGCUGGUUCACAGGUGGUGCAUGGUUGUCGUCAGCUCGUGUCGUGAGAUGUUGGGUUAAGUCCCGCAACGAGCGCAACCCUUGUCCUAUGUUGCCAGCACGUAAAGGUGGGGACUCAUGGGAGACUGCCGGGGUCAACUCGGAGGAAGGUGGGGAUGACGUCAAAUCAUCAUGCCCCUUAUGUCUUGGGCUUCACGCAUGCUACAAUGGCCGGUACAGUGGGUUGCGAUACUGUGAGGUGGAGCUAAUCCCUAAAAGCCGGUCUCAGUUCGGAUCGAAGUCUGCAACUCGACUUCGUGAAGUUGGAGUCGCUAGUAAUCGCAGAUCAGCAACGCUGCGGUGAAUACGUUCCCGGGCCUUGUACACACCGCCCGUCAAGUCACGAAAGUUGGUAACACCCGAAGCCCAUGGCCCAACCCUUGUGGAGGGAAUGGUCGAAGGUGGGACUAGCGAUUGGGACUAAGUCGUAACAAGGUAACC
Molecule: ribosomal RNA, 734 nt
Filed under: uncultured bacterium
Lineage: Bacteria
Description: bacterial SSU rRNA
Rfam family: Bacterial small subunit ribosomal RNA
Source: RNAcentral